AGGAUUAAGGGUUAUUUUAAGAUUGAAAUAAGGGUUGUUGGAGGCUAUAUAGGCCACGAAUUUUCUGCCAUAUUUCUUCAUCAAAAAGUGUUCUUCAUGGGCUUGCUCGGGAAUCAACACCUCUAGGCCAAGGAAAUCUAAUUUGAUCAGCCCCUAAACUCUUCAAUCAAGUUUAGAGCAGUAAAUAGCUUUAAGGACCGCCUCUUGGACGAUGUACUUGUUUGUUAUGCGAUGGCUUGUAUGCGAUGGCUUGUAAUGCAAACAAUUAUCUUUUGAUUUGGAUAUGGUUUUUGUUAUAGUAUUUUAAAAAUGUUGAUUUGAACUAUGUAACCUUAUGAUUUGGGAUGAUGUUUAAGACUUUCAUGA
Long non-coding RNA from Erigeron canadensis, 366 nucleotides. RefSeq lists it as uncharacterized. The record is from RefSeq and is a predicted model, not a curated record. The transcript has 3 exons. Lineage: Eukaryota; Viridiplantae; Streptophyta; Magnoliopsida; Asterales; Asteraceae.